This 65-nucleotide transfer RNA is filed under the name Haemaphysalis tibetensis. RNAcentral describes it as "tRNA-Ile". The record is from RNAcentral. Lineage: Eukaryota; Metazoa; Arthropoda; Arachnida; Ixodida; Ixodidae.
AGUAAAAUGCCUGAAAUUAAAGGGUUAUCUUGAUAGGAUAAAUAAUGUGUUUAAUACUUUUACUA